GAUGAACGCUGGCGGCGUGCCUAAUACAUGCAAGUCGAGCGAACAGACGAGGAGCUUGCUCCUCUGACGUUAGCGGCGGACGGGUGAGUAACACGUGGAUAACCUACCUAUAAGACUGGGAUAACUUCGGGAAACCGGAGCUAAUACCGGAUAAUAUAUUGAACCGCAUGGGUCGAUAGUGAAAGACGGUUGUGCUGUCACUUAUAGAUGGUUCCGCGCCGCAUUAGCUAGUUGGUAAGGUAACGGCUUACCAAGGCAACGAUGCGUAGCCGACCUGAGAGAGUGAUCGGCCACACUGGAACUGAGACACGGUCCAGACUCCUACGGGAGGCAGCAGUAGGGAAUCUUACGCAAUGGGCGAAAGCUUGACGGAGCAACGCCGCGUGAGUGAUGACGGUCUUCGGAUCGUAAAACUCUGUUAUUAGGGAAGAACAAAUGUGUAAGUAACUAUGCACGUCUUGACGGUACCUAAUCAGAAAGCCACGGCUAACUACGUG
RNAcentral lists this ribosomal RNA (497 nucleotides) under uncultured bacterium. RNAcentral describes it as "partial 16S ribosomal RNA". It matches the Rfam family "Bacterial small subunit ribosomal RNA", at positions 28 to 507 of the family's 1533-position model. The record is from RNAcentral.